AGUUCAGACUGCAGGCUGCAACUCGCCUGCACGAAGUCGGAAUUGCUAGUAAUCGUGGGUCAGCAUACUACGGUGAAUACGUUCCCGGGCCUUGUACACACCGCCCGUCAAACCAUGAGAGUUGGCAACACCCGAAGUCGGUAGUCUAACCGCAAGGAGGACGCCGCCGAAGGUGGGGUUGAUGAUUAGGGUUAAGUCGUAACAAGGUAGC
Molecule: ribosomal RNA, 211 nt
Filed under: uncultured bacterium
Lineage: Bacteria
Description: partial 16S ribosomal RNA
Rfam family: Bacterial small subunit ribosomal RNA
Source: RNAcentral